Molecule: long non-coding RNA, 206 nt
Filed under: Daucus carota (carrot)
Lineage: Eukaryota; Viridiplantae; Streptophyta; Magnoliopsida; Apiales; Apiaceae
Description: long non-coding RNA (DCAR_LNC006234)
Source: RNAcentral
UUAACUUAAUUAUUACAAACCCAAAUCCCAAAUAUAAACCUAAGUCUUACAUAAUAACGUGCUUACAAAGCUUACACAUUUCAAGCAUCCCGCUAUCCAAAACUAGUGACUAUAGCCAAAUACUGCUAAUAGCUUCCUCCAACUCUCAUCCUGGAAUCCUGGCCUUACCAGUAGCCCGAGGGUCAUCAUUACCAAUCUUCUCUGCC